AUGCAAGAACCUGUAACUUACACUCUUACUGAUUCAUCAGUUCACACCACAACACCAGAAAAUAGACAUGACGAGCAGACCAACCAGAGCAGGCAGCACAAGGGAGCUGUGAGAAGGAGAAGAGCGACCACAGAACCGCGAGCUAGAAAGAGCUGGACCAAAGAGGGCCAGGAGCCACCUGUUGGUUCUUUAGAGCAUCGGGGAGGAGACAGGUGGCACCAUCUAGCUUGUCCAUGGCAGGACCAGAAAGAGGGCCUGUCACAUGCCAACCCAGCUGGCUGGUAGCUGACCAGAAGGGCAGGUGGUGGGGCUGCCCCCAGGCCUUGUCCAGGAUGGGGUGCCCGUGCUGGGGGCCAGGGGGGCACAGACCCCGUCCUUCCUGACAGGCUGAGGACCAGUGUUUGGUGAGGGGGCGGCCCUGGGGCUGGGCUGUGUGGAGCCUUUCUGCUAAGGCAGAGAGAAGCAGCCCUCCCUGUCUCAUGUGGUCGGGAGGGGUCAGCACCCACCUCUGGGUGGCCAUCCGGGAGCCCUGCCCCUUGCCAUCACCUCCCCCACAGCAUGGUGCAGGCUCUGGGCUUGGGCUCUACAGGGGGAGUCCCUCCUGAGGGCACCAGGAAGGAGAGGGCAGGGCUGGGGCUCCCACUGGUCGGAAGCUCUGUCCACACCCACAGGGCCCCCACCUUUGCAGACCCUGCCCAGGGCUCUGGCCUGAGGUGGAUCCCAGUUAGGUUGGGGUCAGGUUGAGCCUAAGACCAUUGAAGGGGCUGCCCAGUGGGGUCACGCCGAGGUAGCCAGGAGGCUAGUCAGGCCCCGGGGACUGCAGGCCCCGGCACAGGGUCUGGCUAGGAGCUGUGGCUCUGGGCUUGCUCUGGAGAGCUGCCCGGUCACAGGCACUGCUGCGCCACACAGGAGCCUGGCGCCCUCGAGAGUGCAGACAGCUUUGCACCCUGAACUGGGGCCUGCACACGCCCACCCACCACCUCUGCUGUCCCUUUACUGGUCACCACUUUUAGAAACCCUCUCUGACCCGCCAGAUGGCACUCACUCGGUGGCCUAAUUUCUGGGGUAGGGGCACACUUCUCCCUGCCUCCAUGCUGGACACAGAGCCUCCCUUGCCCAAGGUGGCUGUCGCUGUCCCCUGGACUCUGUAGCUGGCUUAUUGUGGGGUGAGCAGGAGGCACUUCCCUGUUCCUGUCCUCCGAGUCCACAUGGGGAAUGGGUCUGCAUCAUGAGUGCCCCUGCCCUCGGCUCUGCCUGACUCCCAUGUCCAGACUAUACCUUGUCC
RNAcentral lists this long non-coding RNA (1285 nucleotides) under Urocitellus parryii (Arctic ground squirrel). RNAcentral's name for it is "lncRNA (ENSUPAG00010006886.1)". The record is from RNAcentral. Lineage: Eukaryota; Metazoa; Chordata; Mammalia; Rodentia; Sciuridae.